Molecule: ribosomal RNA, 253 nt
Filed under: uncultured bacterium
Lineage: Bacteria
Description: partial 16S ribosomal RNA
Rfam family: Bacterial small subunit ribosomal RNA
Source: RNAcentral
UACGUAGGGGGCAAGCGUUGUCCGGAUUUAUUGGGCGUAAAGAGCGUGUAGGCGGCCAUACAGGUCCGUUGUGAAAACUGGAGGCUUAACCUCCAGACGUCGAUGGAAACCGUAUGGCUAGAGUCCGGAAGAGGAGAGUGGAAUUCCUGGUGUAGCGGUGAAAUGCGCAGAUAUCAGGAAGAACACCCGUGGCGAAGGCGGCUCUCUGGGACAGUACUGACGCUGAGACGCGAAAGCGUGGGGAGCAAACAGG